GGCGGUUUGGCCGAGUGGUCUAAGGCGAUUGACUAGAAAUCAAUUCUCUUCGGAGGCGGCGGUUCGAAUCCGCCAGCCGUCG
Penicillium steckii is the source of this 82-nucleotide transfer RNA. It matches the Rfam family "tRNA". From Rfam's summary of the family: Transfer RNA (tRNA) molecules are approximately 80 nucleotides in length. Their secondary structure includes four short double-helical elements and three loops (D, anti-codon, and T loops). Further hydrogen bonds mediate the characteristic L-shaped molecular structure. tRNAs have two regions of fundamental functional importance: the anti-codon, which is responsible for specific mRNA codon recognition, and the 3' end, to which the tRNAs corresponding amino acid is attached (by aminoacyl-tRNA synthetases). tRNAs cope with the degeneracy of the genetic code in two manners: having more than one tRNA (with a specific anti-codon) for a particular amino acid; and 'wobble' base-pairing, i.e. permitting non-standard base-pairing at the 3rd anti-codon position. NCBI's taxonomy places the organism in Eukaryota, Fungi, Ascomycota, Eurotiomycetes, Eurotiales, Aspergillaceae. The record is from Rfam.